GCAUGGGGAGCGAACAGGAUUAGAUACCCUGGUAGUCCAUGCCGUAAACGUUGGGCACUAGGUGUGGGGGACAUUCCACGUUUUCCGCGCCGUAGCUAACGCAUUAAGUGCCCCGCCUGGGGAGUACGGCCGCAAGGCUAAAACUCAAAGGAAUUGACGGGGGCCCGCACAAGCGGCGGAGCAUGCGGAUUAAUUCGAUGCAACGCGAAGAACCUUACCAAGGCUUGACAUGAACCGGAAAGACCUGGAAACAGGUGCCCCGCUUGCGGUCGGUUUACAGGUGGUGCAUGGUUGUCGUCAGCUCGUGUCGUGAGAUGUUGGGUUAAGUCCCGCAACGAGCGCAACCCUCGUUCUAUGUUGCCAGCGCGUUAUGGCGGGGACUCAUAGGAGACUGCCGGGGUCAACUCGGAGGAAGGUGGGGACGACGUCAAAUCAUCAUGCCCCUUAUGUCUUGGGCUUCACGCAUGCUACAAUGGCCGGUACAAAGGGUUGCGAUACUGUGAGGUGGAGCUAAUCCCAAAAAGCCGGUCUCAGUUCGGAUUGGGGUCUGCAACUCGACCCCAUGAAGUCGGAGUCGCUAGUAAUCGCAGAUCAGCAACGCUGCGGUGAAUACGUUCCCGGGCCUUGUACACACCGCCCGUCAAGUCACGAAAGUUGGUAACACCCGAAGCCGGUGGCCU
Molecule: ribosomal RNA, 680 nt
Filed under: Paenarthrobacter aurescens
Lineage: Bacteria; Bacillati; Actinomycetota; Actinomycetes; Micrococcales; Micrococcaceae
Description: bacterial SSU rRNA
Rfam family: Bacterial small subunit ribosomal RNA
Source: RNAcentral